Molecule: long non-coding RNA, 148 nt
Organism: Apis florea (little honeybee)
Lineage: Eukaryota; Metazoa; Arthropoda; Insecta; Hymenoptera; Apidae
Source: RefSeq, a predicted model, not a curated record
AAACUUGCGGGGAAGCUAUCGAUUUCGUAAGAAGCGGAGAAAUCGGCGGUUGUUUUACGGCUCACCUGGCCGAAACAGUUGAAGAUGUUAAAACAAUCAAGAAAGAUAAACCUGGUACGAUUCUAGUCGUAAAAGAGAAGAGGAGAAA